Molecule: long non-coding RNA, 804 nt
Organism: Oncorhynchus keta (chum salmon)
Lineage: Eukaryota; Metazoa; Chordata; Actinopteri; Salmoniformes; Salmonidae
Exons: 3
Source: RefSeq, a predicted model, not a curated record
GCCACAUCUCCCACGACUGUGAUAGGAUGCUUCUCCUUAGGGAUACAGACUGACAGAGAGAGAGACGGUAAUGAGGCCCGUUAUCUACUGACCCAGAGUCAGAUGAAGCCCUUUAUCUACUGACCCAGAGUCAGAUGAAGUCCUUUAUCUACUGACCCAGAGUCAGAUGAAGUCCUUUAUCUACUGACCCAGAGUCAGAUGAAGUCCUUUAUCUACUGACCCAGAGUCAGAUGAAGUCCUUUAUCUACUGACCCAGAGUCAGAUGAAGUCCUUUAUCUACUGACCCAGAGUCAGAUGAAGUCCUUUAUCUACUGACCCAGAGUCAGAUGAAGUCCUUUAUCUACUGACCCAGAGUCAGAUGAGGUCCUUUAUCUACUGACCCAGAGUCAGAUGAAGUCCUUUAUCUACUGACCCAGAGUCUGAUUAACAGGGAACUGUGUGUCUCUAACAGGGAACUGUGUGUCUCUAACAGGGAACUGUGUGUCUCUAACAGGGAACUGUGUGUCUCUAACAGGGAACUGUGUGUUUCUAACAGGGAACUGUGUGUCUCUAACAGGGAACUGUGUGUCUCUAACAGGGAACUGUGUGUCUCUAACAGGGAACUGUGUGUUUCUAACAGGGAACUGUGUGUCUCUAACAGGGAACUGUGUGUCUCUAACAGGGAACUGUGUGUCUCUAACAGGGAACUGUGUGUCUCUAACAGGGAACUGUGUGUCUCUAACAGGGAACUGUGUGUCUCUAACAGGGAACUGUGUGUCUCUAACAGGGAACUGUGUGUCUCUAACAGGGAACUGUGUGUCUCUA